UUUAGGAUUGAAGUUUUCGGAUGGAUUUCCUAUGUGACUGAGUGGCGGACGGGUGAGUAACGCGUGGGGAACCUGCCCUAUACAGGGGGAUAACAGCUGGAAACGGCUGCUAAUACCGCAUAAGCGCACAGAAUCGCAUGAUUCAGUGUGAAAAGCCCUGGCAGUAUAGGAUGGUCCCGCGUCUGAUUAGCUGGUUGGUGAGGUAACGGCUUACCAAGGCGACGAUCAGUAGCCGGCUUGAGAGAGUGAACGGCCACAUUGGGACUGAGACACGGCCCAAACUCCUACGGGAGGCAGCAGUGGGGAAUAUUGCACAAUGGGGGAAACCCUGAUGCAGCGACGCCGCGUGAGUGAAGAAGUAUUUCGGUAUGUAAAGCUCUAUCAGCAGGGAAGAAAACAGACGGUACCUGACUAAGAAGCCCCGGCUAACUACGUGCCAGCAGCCGCGGUAAUACGUAGGGGGCAAGCGUUAUCCGGAAUUACUGGGUGUAAAGGGUGCGUAGGUGGCAUGGUAAGUCAGAAGUGAAAGCCCGGGGCUUAACCCCGGGACUGCUUUUGAAACUGUCAUGCUGGAGUGCAGGAGAGGUAAGCGGAAUUCCUAGUGUAGCGGUGAAAUGCGUAGAUAUUAGGAGGAACACCAGUGGCGAAGGC
Molecule: ribosomal RNA, 651 nt
Filed under: uncultured Lachnospiraceae bacterium
Lineage: Bacteria; Bacillati; Bacillota; Clostridia; Lachnospirales; Lachnospiraceae
Description: bacterial SSU rRNA
Rfam family: Bacterial small subunit ribosomal RNA
Source: RNAcentral